AAUUUACGUGUGUGUGUGUGUGUGUGUGUGUGUGUGUGUGUGUAGCUGAAAUAUGUCUUGGACCCCAAAAGAAAUCCAGAUGAAACAAUUAUACGAACCCAGUUUACCAAAGUACAGCAAGUUACCUUGCAACGCAGAGACUUUUUGACUCUGGGCUUGGCACGGGAGUUGGAGGUCACAAUAGCAAAUUGCUGUUUUCAAAUAAUCACCCAAAUAGCACAGUCACAGCAAAAGGAUGUUUAUGCAGUGGAUUGCUAUGUUGUACCAACAUGGCUACCUCCACAUUGUCCGGAUACCUUGUCUUUCCCCGUAAAUAUAUUAUUAUUAUAUUUUUUGAAAUAGUUAAUUUAUAAUUAUUUACAAAAAUAAAGGUUCAGAUCUGUUCUGCUUUUUAUUUCUACAUGAUU
This is a long non-coding RNA of Etheostoma spectabile (orangethroat darter), 407 nucleotides long. RefSeq lists it as uncharacterized. The transcript has 3 exons. NCBI's taxonomy places the organism in Eukaryota, Metazoa, Chordata, Actinopteri, Perciformes, Percidae. The record is from RefSeq and is a predicted model, not a curated record.